This 605-nucleotide long non-coding RNA is filed under the name Homo sapiens (human). Its description in RNAcentral is "HSALNT0298685". The record is from RNAcentral. Lineage: Eukaryota; Metazoa; Chordata; Mammalia; Primates; Hominidae.
UCGGCUCACUGCAACCUCUGCCUCCACGGUUCAAGCAAUUCUCCUGCCUCAGCCUCCCGAGUAGCUGGGAUUACAGGCAUGCACCAUCACGUCCAGCUAAUUUUGUAUUUUUAGUAGAGAUGGGGUUUCACCAUGUUGGCCAGGCUGGUCUUGAACUCCUAACUUCAGGUGAUCUGCCCACCUCAGCCUCCCAAAGUGCUGGGAUUACAGGUGUGAGCCGCCAUGCCCGGCCUGCUUACUCAUUUUGAAAUGGAGAAAUUACCAUUUUAAAAAAUAAUCAUAAAUCCAACAGUUUUGGAUCUGGAGCAUGAAAUGAUAGGUUAGUUGGCUCUCUCUCCUUUUCUAUAAGGAAAAGUUAUUUCUCUGCUGAAGAUAUAUUAAGGGAGAAAACAGUCUUAUAGUUGCAUUUUUAUUCUAAUAAAAAAAAUUCCAGACCAGGUGCCGUGGUGGCUCACGCCUGUAAUCCCAGCACUUUGGGAGGCCGAGGCAGGCAGAUCACCCGAGGUCAGGAGUUUGAGACCAGCCUGGCCAACAUGGCGAAACCCUGUCUCUACUAAAAGUACAAAAAAUUAGCCAGGCAUGGUGGCUCACACCUGUAAUCCCAG